This 342-nucleotide ribosomal RNA is filed under the name uncultured soil bacterium. RNAcentral describes it as "bacterial SSU rRNA". It matches the Rfam family "Bacterial small subunit ribosomal RNA", at positions 26 to 365 of the family's 1533-position model. The record is from RNAcentral.
AGAGUGAACGCUGGCGGCAGGCCUAACACAUGCAAGUCGAACGGCAGCGGGUCAGUAGCAAUACUGAUGCCGGCGAGUGGCGGACGGGUGAGGAAUACAUCGGAAUCUACCUUGUCGUGGGGGAUAACGUAGGGAAACUUACGCUAAUACCGCAUACGAACUAUGGUUGAAAGCGGCGGACCGCAAGGCGUCGCGCGAUUGGAUGAGCCGAUGUCCGAUUAGCUAGUUGGCGGGGUAAAGGCCCACCAAGGCGACGAUCGGUAGCUGGUCUGAGAGGAUGAUCAGCCACACUGGAACUGAGACACGGUCCAGACUCCUACGGGAGCAGCAGGUAGGAAUAGU